CCAGAGAACUUAGCAGAGAUGCUUUGGUGCCUUCGGGAACUCUGAGACAGGUGCUGCAUGGCUGUCGUCAGCUCGUGUUGUGAAAUGUUGGGUUAAGUCCCGCAACGAGCGCAACCCUUAUCCUUUGUUGCCAGCGGCUCGGCCGGGAACUCAAAGGAGACUGCCGGUGAUAAACCGGAGGAAGGUGGGGAUGACGUCAAGUCAUCAUGGCCCUUACGGCCAGGGCUACACACGUGCUACAAUGGCGCAUACAAAGAGAAGCGACCUCGCGAGAGCAAGCGGACCUCACAAAGUGCGUCGUAGUCCGGAUUGGAGUCUGCAACUCGACUCCAUGAAGUCGGAAUCACUAGUAAUCGUAGAUCAGAAUGCUACGGUGAAUACGUUCCCGGGCCUUGUACACACCGCCCGUCACACCAUGGGAGUGGGUUGCAAAAGAAGUAGGUAGCUUAACCUUCGGGAGGGCGCUUACCACUUUGUGAUUCAUGACUGGGGUGAAGUCGUAACAAGGUAGGCGUAGCGAG
This 521-nucleotide ribosomal RNA is filed under the name uncultured bacterium. RNAcentral's name for it is "bacterial SSU rRNA". It matches the Rfam family "Bacterial small subunit ribosomal RNA", at positions 988 to 1509 of the family's 1533-position model. The record is from RNAcentral.